This 493-nucleotide ribosomal RNA is filed under the name uncultured bacterium. Its description in RNAcentral is "partial 16S ribosomal RNA". It matches the Rfam family "Bacterial small subunit ribosomal RNA", at positions 27 to 507 of the family's 1533-position model. The record is from RNAcentral.
GAGUGAACGCUGGCGGUAGGCCUAACACAUGCAAGUCGAACGGCAGCACAGUAAGAGCUUGCUCUUACGGGUGGCGAGUGGCGGACGGGUGAGGAAUACAUCGGAAUCUACUUUUUCGUGGGGGAUAACGUAGGGAAACUUACGCUAAUACCGCAUACGACCUACGGGUGAAAGCAGAGGAUCUUCGGACCUUGCGCGAUUGAAUGAGCCGAUGUCGGAUUAGCUAGUUGGCGGGGUAAAGGCCCACCAAGGCGACGAUCCGUAGCUGGUCUGAGAGGAUGAUCAGCCACACUGGAACUGAGACACGGUCCAGACUCCUACGGGAGGCAGCAGUGGGGAAUAUUGGACAAUGGGCGCAAGCCUGAUCCAGCCAUACCGCGUGGGUGAAGAAGGCCUUCGGGUUGUAAAGCCCUUUUGUUGGGAAAGAAAAGCAGCAGGUUAAUACCCCGCUGUUCUGACGGUACCCAAAGAAUAAGCACCGGCUAACUUCGUG